GACGAACGCUGGCGGCGUGCUUAACACAUGCAAGUCGAACGAAGAGCGAUGGAAGCUUGCUUCUAUCAAUCUUAGUGGCGAACGGGUGAGUAACGCGUAAUCAACCUGCCCUUCAGAGGGGGACAACAGUUGGAAACGACUGCUCAUACCGCAUACGAUCUAACCUCGGCAUCGAGGAUAGAUGAAAGGUGGCCUCUACAUGUAAGCUAUCACUGAAGGAGGGGAUUGCGUCUGAUUAGCUAGUUGGAGGGGUAACGGCCCACCAAGGCGAUGAUCAGUAGCCGGUCUGAGAGGAUGAACGGCCACAUUGGGACUGAGACACGGCCCAGACUCCUACGGGAGGCAGCAGUGGGGAAUCUUCCGCAAUGGACGAAAGUCUGACGGAGCAACGCCGCGUGAGUGAUGACGGCCUUCGGGUUGUAAAGCUCUGUUAAUCGGGACGAAAGGCCUUCUUGCGAAUAGUUAGAAGGAUUGACGGUACCGGAAUAGAAAGCCACGGCUAACUACGUG
This 510-nucleotide ribosomal RNA is filed under the name uncultured bacterium. RNAcentral describes it as "partial 16S ribosomal RNA". It matches the Rfam family "Bacterial small subunit ribosomal RNA", at positions 28 to 507 of the family's 1533-position model. The record is from RNAcentral.